RNAcentral lists this ribosomal RNA (484 nucleotides) under uncultured bacterium. RNAcentral describes it as "partial 16S ribosomal RNA". It matches the Rfam family "Bacterial small subunit ribosomal RNA", at positions 30 to 507 of the family's 1533-position model. The record is from RNAcentral.
AUUGAACGCUGGCGGCAGGCCUAACACAUGCAAGUCGAGCGGAUGAAGGGAGCUUGCUCCUGGAUUCAGCGGCGGACGGGUGAGUAAUGCCUAGGAAUCUGCCUGGUAGUGGGGGAUAACGUCCGGAAACGGGCGCUAAUACCGCAUACGUCCUGAGGGAGAAAGUGGGGGAUCUUCGGACCUCACGCUAUCAGAUGAGCCUAGGUCGGAUUAGCUAGUUGGUGGGGUAAAGGCCUACCAAGGCGACGAUCCGUAACUGGUCUGAGAGGAUGAUCAGUCACCCUGGAACUGGGACACGGUCCAGACUCCUACGGGAGGCAGCAGUGGGGAAUAUUGGGCAAUGGGCGAAAGCCUGAUCCAGCCAUGCCGCGUGUGUGAAGAAGGUCUUCGGAUUGUAAAGCACUUUAAGUUGGGAGGAAGGGCAGUAAGUUAAUACCUUGCUGUUUUGACGGUACCUACAGAAUAAGCACCGGCUAACUUCGUG